Molecule: ribosomal RNA, 192 nt
Filed under: Mycoplasmopsis arginini
Lineage: Bacteria; Bacillati; Mycoplasmatota; Mycoplasmoidales; Metamycoplasmataceae
Description: partial 16S ribosomal RNA
Rfam family: Bacterial small subunit ribosomal RNA
Source: RNAcentral
AGUCGGUGGAGAGUUCACUGACGCAGCUAACGCAUUAAAUGAUCCGCCUGAGUAGUAUGCUCGCAAGAGUGAAACUUAAAGGAAUUGACGGGGACCCGCACAAGCGGUGGAGCAUGUGGUUAAUUUGAAGAUACGCGGAGAACCUUACCCACUCUUGACAUCCUUCGCAAUGCUAUAGAGAUAUAGCGGAGG